UACGUAGGGUGCGAGCGUUAAUCGGAAUUACUGGGCGUAAAGCGUCUGUAGGUGGCUUUUUAAGUCUGCCGUCAAAUCCCAGGGCUUAACCCUGGACAGGCGGUGGAAACUACCAAGCUGGAGUACGGUAGGGGCAGAGGGAAUUUCCGGUGGAGCGGUGAAAUGCGUAGAGAUCGGAAAGAACACCAACGGCGAAGGCACUCUGCUGGGCCGACACUGACACUGAGAGACGAAAGCUAGGGGAGCAAAUGGG
RNAcentral lists this ribosomal RNA (253 nucleotides) under uncultured bacterium. RNAcentral describes it as "partial 16S ribosomal RNA". It matches the Rfam family "Bacterial small subunit ribosomal RNA", at positions 524 to 776 of the family's 1533-position model. The record is from RNAcentral.